Molecule: transfer RNA, 74 nt
Filed under: Podarcis lilfordi (Lilford's wall lizard)
Lineage: Eukaryota; Metazoa; Chordata; Lepidosauria; Squamata; Lacertidae
Description: tRNA.Lys
Source: RNAcentral
UGGAAUAGCUCAGUUGGUACAGCAUGAGACUCUUAAUCUCAGGGCUGUGGAUUUCAGCCCAACAUUGGGCAAAA